AGUCUUCCUUGUGCAUCAGAUCUGAACACUGGUCUGAGUGGUUCUAAAAGGAGAAACAGUAGAGUUGAGACUGGCAAUGUAUUUUUGUUACACGCGAGCUAGAUUCAAACAGUA
This 114-nucleotide small nucleolar RNA is filed under the name Echinops telfairi (small Madagascar hedgehog). Its description in RNAcentral is "Small nucleolar RNA SNORA61 (ENSETEG00000024753.1)". Lineage: Eukaryota; Metazoa; Chordata; Mammalia; Afrosoricida; Tenrecidae. The record is from RNAcentral.